GCCGGUGUAGCUCAGGUGGUUAGAGCGAACGCUUCAUAAGCGUUAGGUCCCUGGUUCAAGUCCAGGCACCGGCA
This 74-nucleotide transfer RNA is filed under the name Patescibacteria group bacterium. RNAcentral describes it as "tRNA-Met". It matches the Rfam family "tRNA". Rfam says of the family: Transfer RNA (tRNA) molecules are approximately 80 nucleotides in length. Their secondary structure includes four short double-helical elements and three loops (D, anti-codon, and T loops). The record is from RNAcentral.